GCAAGUGCUUAACCUUCAGUAACAUAAUCUUAAGAAAGACUAGCUCUCCCCUCGGGCUCUGUCCAGGUGGUGCCAGGGGAGCACAGGGCUCCACCCAGGGAUGUGCAGUCCCAUUCCACAACGUUGGCGACGAAGUCAGGCUCUUGAGCCUGCACCUGCACAUUCCUACAGCUUCUCAGAGUGCUACCGACAGUGACUGAGGAGACAAACCAUGCAGGAAACAAUU
RNAcentral lists this small nucleolar RNA (226 nucleotides) under Dasypus novemcinctus (nine-banded armadillo). Its description in RNAcentral is "Small nucleolar RNA SNORA73 family (ENSDNOG00000026234.1)". It matches the Rfam family "Small nucleolar RNA SNORA73 family". From Rfam's summary of the family: U17 (SNORA73A and SNORA73B) also known as E1 belongs to the H/ACA class of small nucleolar RNAs (snoRNAs). Vertebrate U17 is intron-encoded and ranges in length from 200-230 nucleotides, longer than most snoRNAs. Lineage: Eukaryota; Metazoa; Chordata; Mammalia; Cingulata; Dasypodidae. The record is from RNAcentral.